GAGCUGAUGCCAGAAUGGUAAUUGGGAUUUUCUGUAAAAAAAUUGACAUGUUUGUCAGGGUAGGUUCGAUUCCUGCUCGGCUCA
Rhizoctonia solani is the source of this 84-nucleotide non-coding RNA. The record is from Rfam. NCBI's taxonomy places the organism in Eukaryota, Fungi, Basidiomycota, Agaricomycetes, Cantharellales, Ceratobasidiaceae.